This 434-nucleotide ribosomal RNA is filed under the name uncultured bacterium. RNAcentral's name for it is "bacterial SSU rRNA". It matches the Rfam family "Bacterial small subunit ribosomal RNA", at positions 855 to 1290 of the family's 1533-position model. The record is from RNAcentral.
AAGCAUUAAGUGAACCACCUGGGGAGUACGAUCGCAAGGUUGAAACUCAAAGGAAUUGACGGGGGCCCGCACAAGCGGAGGAACAUGUGGUUUAAUUCGAUGAUACGCGAGGAACCUUACCUGGGCUUAAAUGUAGAUUGCAUUUUCGGGAAACCGGAAUUCCCUUCGGGGCUAUUUACAAGGUGCUGCAUGGUUGUCGUCAGCUCGUGCCGUGAGGUGUCGGGUUAAGUCCCAUAACGAGCGCAACCCCUAUCGUUAGUUGCCAGCGGAUAAUGCCGGGGACUCUAGCGAGACUGCCACCGUAAGGUGAGAGGAAGGUGGGGAUGACGUCAAAUCAGCACGGCCCUUAUGUCCAGGGCUACACACGUGUUACAAUGGCCGAUACAAAGGGCAGCUACCAGGUGACUGGAUGCAAAUCUCGAAAGUCGGUCUCA